Molecule: regulatory RNA element, 136 nt
Organism: Serratia sp. DD3
Lineage: Bacteria; Pseudomonadati; Pseudomonadota; Gammaproteobacteria; Enterobacterales; Yersiniaceae
Rfam family: Histidine operon leader
About the family: At least 6 amino acid operons are known to be regulated by attenuation. In each a leader sequence of 150-200 bp is found upstream of the first gene in the operon.
Source: Rfam
CCAUCAUCACCAUCAUCCUGACUAGUCUUUCAGGCGAUGUGUGCUGGGAGACGGUUCUUGAAUCUUCCAGUGGCGCGUAGAACGUAAAAAACGCAUGAGAAAGCCCUCGGAAGAUAUCUUCCGAGGGUUUUUUUUU